This 217-nucleotide long non-coding RNA is filed under the name Lathyrus oleraceus (garden pea). RNAcentral describes it as "Pisum sativum (pea) long non-coding RNA (PSAT_LNC034546)". The record is from RNAcentral. Lineage: Eukaryota; Viridiplantae; Streptophyta; Magnoliopsida; Fabales; Fabaceae.
AAAAAGUUCACAAUGCAAUAAGAGGCAUGGACAAAGAAAGAGUUUAGAUUAGGGGUCCUUUCAAGUCAACUUUCAAGAUUUAGCAUUCUAAAGGCAUGAGGCUUAGUUGCUUUUCAACAAAUUUUAGCAUUCUAAAGGCAUGAGGCCUAGUUGCUCUUGAACUCCAUUAAGCAUAGGUAAAGUCCUAAUUCUAAGUCCUUUCUCCUUUUUGCAUUGG